Molecule: ribosomal RNA, 501 nt
Filed under: uncultured bacterium
Lineage: Bacteria
Description: bacterial SSU rRNA
Rfam family: Bacterial small subunit ribosomal RNA
Source: RNAcentral
GGCUAACGCUGGCGGCGUGUCUUAGCCAUGCAAGUCGAGCGGACUUAUGGGGUAACUUAUAAGUCAGCGGCGGACGGCGGAGUAACACGUAGCUAACCUACCCUCUGGACGGGGAUAACCUACCGAAAGGUGGGCUAAUACCCGAUGUAGUCAUCCUGUAUAGGGGUGAUGAAAGGUGGGCUUCUGUUUACAAGCUCAUGCUGGAGGAGGGGGCUGCGGCCUAUCAGGUAGUUGGUAGGGUAAUAGCCUACCAAGCCGAUGACGGGUAGCCGGCCUGAGAGGGUGACCGGCCCGAGGGGCACUGAGAUACGGGUCCCACUCCUACGGGAGGCAGCAGGCUAGAAAUUUGGGGCAAUGGGGGAAACCCUGACCCAGUGACGCCGCGUGCAGGAAGGAGCCCUUCGGGGUGUAAACUGCUGUACGUGUAGGGAGGAAGGGUACUAAGGUGAACAAUCUUAGUACUUGACGGUACUACAGGAGGAAGCCCAGGCUAACCUCGUG